RNAcentral lists this ribosomal RNA (238 nucleotides) under uncultured bacterium. RNAcentral's name for it is "partial 16S ribosomal RNA". It matches the Rfam family "Bacterial small subunit ribosomal RNA", at positions 977 to 1209 of the family's 1533-position model. The record is from RNAcentral.
UGGGUUUGACAUACGCCGGAAAGCAUCAGAGAUGGUGCCCCUUUUUGUCGGUGUACAGGUGGUGCAUGGCUGUCGUCAGCUCGUGUCGUGAGAUGUUGGGUUAAGUCCCGCAACGAGCGCAACCCUCGUUCCAUGUUGCCAGCAGGCCCUUCGGGGUGCUGGGGACUCAUGGGAGACUGCCGGGGUCAACUCGGAGGAAGGUGGGGAUGACGUCAAGUCAUCAUGCCCCUUAUGUCCG